UACGAAGGGGGCUAGCGUUGGUCGGAAUUACUGGGCGUAAAGGGCGCGUAGGCGGCGUGUCAAGUCAGGCGUGAAAGCCCCGGGCUCGACCUGGGAACCGCGCUUGAGACUGGCAUGCUCGAGUUCGGGAGAGGAUGGUGGAAUUCCCAGUGUAGAGGUGAAAUUCGUAGAUAUUGGGAAGAACACCGAUGGCGAAGGCAGCCAUCUGGACCGACACUGACGCUGAGGCGCGAAAGCGUGGGGAGCAAACAGG
RNAcentral lists this ribosomal RNA (253 nucleotides) under uncultured bacterium. RNAcentral describes it as "partial 16S ribosomal RNA". It matches the Rfam family "Bacterial small subunit ribosomal RNA", at positions 524 to 776 of the family's 1533-position model. The record is from RNAcentral.